Molecule: long non-coding RNA, 414 nt
Organism: Astatotilapia calliptera (eastern happy)
Lineage: Eukaryota; Metazoa; Chordata; Actinopteri; Cichliformes; Cichlidae
Source: Ensembl
UCUGCAGGUGAAGGCAGAAAGUAUGUGUGAGCUGAUGUGAAUUCAGCAGCAUGGAUCAGUAUGAGGACAGAGAGGAGGGAGCCCCUCCUGCUAAAACCACUCUGUGUGGGGAACAUGAGAGCCAGACCAAAGCUCAGAGGAACCAACCUGGACCUCCACCCAGCUGUGUGUAUUUAAAGAGUGACCAGUCUAAACAUGAAGCCAUUGACUUUAAAAAGGGGAAGACCUCUGCUGCAUGCAGUUUUCAGUGGGAGAAAGGAUGCUGAAUGGAUUAUAGGGACAAGUGGAUGAGAAAUGUGUCUGACAGUCAAAUGACUCAGAGACAAACAACAGAGGCUUGAACUUUCCUGUGACGCUGAUACUAAUCCUGCUAGUGGAACUGAUCACAGCCAUGGAAACAGCAAAACAGAAACA